CGAUGUUUAUAUUCUUCUUAACAUGAUACUAAUAGUAAAAAUGAAAUAGAAUUAUUCUCAAAUAUCUCGUCUUCGAUACCGUUGAUGAUACCAAUGGCAUAUAAUUUUACAGAACAUUUCAUAAUUAUAGGUCAAUGAAGGAGAGACUAAUAUUUUAAGUAAGAAAACUAUGAAAAUAUUAGGACAAAGUGUAUUGCUGUCCAUAGAUGCCAAAAUUCGUAUCUUUGAAACUUUAUUGCUAGGAAACAAACCUAACUCUCUAUCAUCGUUAUUCUUUCAUCUCGAUUUACCUUUCCUUUUAAAACAUUCUAUAUACAUAAAAAUUCGAGAUUUAGGGGAGUUAUCUUUUUAUAAACAUGUCAACUUUUAAUUAAUGAUAUCUCAAUAAUAACAGUAACGCAUAAACAAUGGAGACGUUAUACUCUAUAAUCUCUAUUGUGCACGCACGAGCCUUAUUUGCAUGUUAGGUGCCGAUCACGGAUUCUGUUGUCGGACUUUCUAUUAAAGUGGCUUCUCAGAUCACCGCUUUGAAUGUUUU
Molecule: long non-coding RNA, 538 nt
Organism: Bombus huntii
Lineage: Eukaryota; Metazoa; Arthropoda; Insecta; Hymenoptera; Apidae
Exons: 2
Source: RefSeq, a predicted model, not a curated record